UUAAGCAUAUCAAUAAGCGGAGGAAAAGAAAACUAACAAGGAUUCCCCUAGUAACGGCGAGUGAACCGGGAAGAGCUCAAAUUUGAAAUCUGGCGUCCUCAGGGCGUCCGAGUUGUAAUCUAUAGAGGCGUUUUCCGUGCCGGACCGUGUCCAAGUCCCUUGGAACAGGGUAUCAAAGAGGGUGACAAUCCCGUACUUGACACGAUGACCGGUGCUCUGUGAUACGUCUUCUACGAGUCGAGUUGUUUGGGAAUGCAGCUCAAAAUGGGUGGUGAGUUCCAUCUAAAGCUAAAUAUUGGCGAGAGACCGAUAGCGAACAAGUACCGUGAGGGAAAGAUGAAAAGCACUUUGGAAAGAGAGUUAAACAGUACGUGAAAUUGUUGAAAGGGAAACGAUUGAAGUCAGUCGUGACUGUUGGGCUCAGCCAGCUCUGCUGGUGUAUUCCCUUCAGUCGGGUCAACAUCAGUUUUGACCGGUGGAUAAUGGCAGCAGGAAUGUGGCACCCUCGGGUGUGUUAUAGCCUGUCGUCGCAUACAUCGGUUGAGACUGAGGAACGCAGCUCGCCUUUAUGGCCGGGGUUCGCCCACGUCCGA
RNAcentral lists this ribosomal RNA (593 nucleotides) under Rhynchogastrema noutii. Its description in RNAcentral is "LSU rRNA". It matches the Rfam family "Eukaryotic large subunit ribosomal RNA", at positions 34 to 620 of the family's 3401-position model. The record is from RNAcentral. Lineage: Eukaryota; Fungi; Basidiomycota; Tremellomycetes; Tremellales; Rhynchogastremaceae.